RNAcentral lists this ribosomal RNA (446 nucleotides) under uncultured bacterium. RNAcentral's name for it is "partial 16S ribosomal RNA". It matches the Rfam family "Bacterial small subunit ribosomal RNA", at positions 338 to 795 of the family's 1533-position model. The record is from RNAcentral.
CCUACGGGUGGCUGCAGUCGAGAAUCAUUCACAAUGGGGGAAACCCUGAUGGUGCGACGCCGCGUGGGGGAAUGAAGGUCUUCGGAUUGUAAACCCCUGUCAUGUGGGAGCAAAUUAAAAAGAUAGUACCACAAGAGGAAGAUACGGCUAACUCUGUGCCAGCAGCCGCGGUAAUACAGAGGUCUCAAGCGUUGUUCGGAAUCACUGGGCGUAAAGCGUGCGUAGGCUGUUUCGUAAGUCGUGUGUGAAAGGCGGGGGCUCAACCCGCGGACGGCACAUGAUACUGGUUGACUAGAGUAAUGGAGGGGGAACCGGAAUUCACGGUGUAGCAGUGAAAUGCGUAGAUAUCAGGAGGAACACUGGUGGCGAAGGCGGGUGCCUGGACAGUAACUGACGCUGAGGCACGAAGGCCAGGGGAGCGAAAGGGAUUAGAUACCCGGGUAGUC